GCUAAGCCCUAAACAUUGAUAGUAAUUAAUACAAUACUUUCCGCCAGAGAACUACAAGUGAAAAACUUGAAACUCAAAGGACUUGACGGUGUCCCAUAUCGGCCUAGAGGAGCCUGUCCUAUAAUCGAUACCCCCCGUUCCACCCAACCCCAACUAGCAAAAUAUCAGCCUAUAUACCGCCGUCGACAGUCUACCCCAUGAGGGCUCAAUAGUAGACACAAUAGCCUUAACGCUAAUACGUCAGGUCAAGGUGUAGCAAAUGUUGAGGAAAAGAUUGGCUACAUUUUUUAUGAUAAAAAACACGAAUUGCACUAUGAAACACUGCAUGAAGGUGAAUUUAGUAGUAAAACAGACAAGAGUAUCUGUUUUAACAACGCUCUGGGACGCGU
RNAcentral lists this ribosomal RNA (389 nucleotides) under Podarcis tiliguerta. RNAcentral's name for it is "partial 12S ribosomal RNA". It matches the Rfam family "Bacterial small subunit ribosomal RNA", at positions 794 to 1384 of the family's 1533-position model. Lineage: Eukaryota; Metazoa; Chordata; Lepidosauria; Squamata; Lacertidae. The record is from RNAcentral.